CUUUAGUGAUAAGCUUGGGGAAGGUGGUUAUGGUUCGGUUUUCAAAGGAAGGCUAGAUGAUGGUCAUCAAGUUGCUGUGAAAUUCUUACACGACUCCAAAGGAGAAGGGGAGGAUUUUGUUAACGAGGUUAUGAGCAUUGGCAGGACCUCUCAUGUUAAUAUUGUUAGCUUAUUUGGGUUUUGUUUGGAAGGCUCAAAGCGGGCCCUAAUAUAUGAGUACAUGCCCAAUGGUUCUUUGGAUAAGUUCAUAUACUCAGAGAGUCCUAAAGCAGUUUUAGGAUGGGAUAAGCUCUACACAAUAGCGAUUGGAAUUGCUCGAGGAUUGGAAUACUUGCAUCAUAGUUGUAAUACACGCAUUGUCCAUUUUGAUAUCAAGCCUCAAAAUAUCCUUCUAGAUGAGGAUUUUCACCCAAAGGUUGCUGAUUUUGGUUUAGCCAAAUUGUGUCAUACCAAGGAGAGCAAGCUUUCUAUGACUGGUGCUAGAGGAACAGUUGGUUUUAUUGCUCCUGAAGUUCACUCUCGAACCUUUGGAGUUGUUUCAACAAAAUCAGAUGUUUAUAGUUAUGGAAUGAUGUUAUUAGAGAUGGUUGGAGGCAGAAAAAAUGUGAAAUCAGUUGCUCAGAAAUCAAGUGAAAAGUAUUUUCCACAUUGGAUUUAUGAUCGUGUUAGACAAGGUGAUGGAUUACAAGCAUGUGAGGUCUCAAGUGAAAAUGAAGGAAUAGCCAAAAAGAUGAGUGUGAUUGGCUUGUGGUGCAUCCAAAUACUACCAAUGCAUCGCCCUACAAUAGCAAAGGUUUUGGAAAUGUUUGAGCGAGGUUUAGAUGAUUUGGACAUGCCACCGAGACAAAACUUCAGCCAAAUUCUGUAAGAUGUUCACGCUACUUAUUUCUGGAACUACUCACUACUAUUUACUAUAAUGUUGAUGUUUUAGAAACAAUUCUUUUCAUUCUUUUGCAGCGAAGAUCCAUGUUGCAAUUUGAAUGCAGAAAGCACGAGUACAAGAAGUGGUACCAAAACUCAAGUUUUUAGCGAAGUGCUAAAAAUGAAGGAGAUGAGCGUUGUGAAUUCAAAAAGUUUACAUCGGUUACCAACUCUGUGACAAGGUUACCUAGCAUUGGAAUUAUGCACUGAACUUAUGCAUCUAUAUGAGCUAGGGUAGAAAUCUUAAGUUACUCUGAUACUUGUCUCAAAAGAAACAUGCUCACUAUACUAUUUUGCAUUCAAAGUCAUUAAGGCCCCAAGAAGGAAAGUUUUGCAACUAUGCAUACGAUAUUUUGACAUAAUCCUAACAUUUCUAUAUCUUUGUUAGUUAGACCUACAUAAUCCUAACAUUUCUAUAUCUUUGUUAGUUAGACCUUCUCAUUGUUCUUCACUGACGCACCAGCACCCCUUAUAGUCAUCCAUCACCCAAAAUUUACCAAACGCUAAUGACACAUCUGUACCAGAAUCAGGUAAAUGAAAAGGUAUCCAAGGCAUUACACAUACUAGAAAAAAAUCAAGGCAUUAUAGUUUUCGAGUCACGGCCUUAUUAGUAGAGUCGAUCAAGCAUAUAGUUGGAUCCUAAAUUAUUGCCAUGUUGAAAUAUGAGGAUGAAGGCAUAAAGUUGAUCGUAGCCAUGAGUCAUGACACAUGUAUAACUGAGGCCUAAAGGAUCAUAAAUUUUGCUUGACAGUUAUGUAGUUUCUAAAUUUAACCUUCCGGUUCCUAACAAAAGUUAAGGUUGAUAGUUGACACCCACAAGCCGUCCAACUGAACCCUAAAAAGAAAACUACUCAAUCCAAAUACUCGUGGUCUCAAUGCAAAAUCAGAAUACAUUUUCAAACAAUAGAAGGACCGAAUCAGAUUGAUCUACGCAUCUGAUAACUAAAAAUCACAUAUGUGGGUAAAUCGAUCAUAAAUCUUGUGGAAGUACGGAACCAGGGGCGGAUCCAGGGCCCGGGCUGCUCGGGCUGCAGCCCGGGGCGAGACCGUGGAGUCCCUUUAACCUACGUACUGUUUAGCCUAACAAAAUAAGGUUUAUGAGACAAAAUUAGACUAUUUUAGAUGUGAUUCAACAGCUCAGCCCGGGGUGCAGCCCCGUUCUGGAUCCGCCCCUGUACGGAAACCAAUCAAAAUGUGUGAUACUUACAUGGUUCUUCGAAUGCCCGCUGCUUCUACUAUUCUUCCAAGGCGACAAGGGUAGGUUAGGCAGGCGUACCCAAAGGGUUUAUGCCACUGAUGGUGCGAGAUUGGAUUAGUACUGCAGCCUCUCCAUCUACCACCCUAAUCACCAGCACGGAGCCGGCGAUGCGGCAAGGCGCAGAGUGGAGAGAUUCUUGAGGGAUUUCCUCAUGCCCUCAUAGGAUGGUACCAAUUUUUUUUGGUACUGGCUGCUAUUGCGCCGUAGGAGAUGGCUGGGGAUGGUGCUAUAACUGUUGUUCACCGCCGCUCAUCUCGAUGGCAAGACGGCAACUGCAACAGCUCGGCAACUCGUUCGUCAGUCGUUGCGGCCUAGAGCGGAUCUCCAUGGACCGAGUCCAUCUGAGGCGAGGGCCCAUCAUGAAAAGUUGGACCGUGCCAGGUCCACGCAGGCACGCCGUCGCCUCCGAUGGCCCAAUACAAUUUGUCAGCGUCUCCAAAAAAGAACACAAUGCAUAUGAUGUGUGCUCUCUGCACAUCCUGACUUGGGAAGGUGACAGGGUUUUGUUUUCAGGAAGCUGGAUGCAUAGCCUGGACGUUUUAGGUUGUGUGGUGAAUACAGUGCUAGUCGUCUCCUCUGAUGCUCUCUUGGAAUGGCCGAGUGGCCGACGAUGUUUGUACCGGCCUGGAGUCCUUUCAAUAUCUAACUGUUGCCAGCUGUAUGUAGUUAACUUUCAGGGUUAGUGUUUGGCAUAAAUGAGUGAAGCUUGCUUGGCCGACAAGAGCGUGUAUUACCCGGAGCUGAUCAGGCUCAGGGCGCGCAUCCAGUCACGUCAGUGUCUCAUGACAGUCGUCGCUUUGCCCCGUCCCAUACGGGCACAUCGGACGUUUCCGUGCGCGGAUGACGAUGGUCCCAAUGUGUCCACUCAAAGCUUUCUGCCGCUACAGUCUACACAGGGCGCGCGACUCACCAGCUUCACCAUUUAGUCUGGCGCUUCUGCCUAUCUAUAUUCGUCCAGAACUGAUUCACCACUCUGUUCGUCCUGCUACUGCCAUCGUAGAAACCUUCCCAUACGCUCCCAUGGCUCCGUCGUCCUUGCUGCUCUUCCUCGUCUCGUCGGUGCCGGGUGAUGCUUGCGGCAGCAGCAGCAUACGUGCAAGGAGGAAAGGACCGCGCACCUGUGGUAUGCGGCAACCUCAGCAUCUCCUACCCGUUUGUGUUACUCUCGGAGGAAGCAACGGAGUAACUACGCAGUGCUCGGAUUCCAAGUCGUUUGCUCAGGCAACACCCUUUACCUCGGGUUAGGUUUUAAGGUAUCGUUCCAGAUUCUUAACAUCUUCUACGGCACGGGCUCCUUAUUCGUUGCCGAUGUCUACAAGCUCCACGACUUCAAUAGCUCCGCGCCCAACGGCUGCCAUGCCCCAGGCGUCAACGUCUCCACAAAGCUCGGCAGCCCAUUCUCAAUCAGCCCCGUCAAUCAGAACCUCAUAUUUUACAACUGCACCAAUCCAGCGGCAGAGGAGGAGAGGCAGAAACGCGGCCUUGUGGGGACGGCAUGCCGCAACAACACGUUUGUUCGCGCCGGAGGUCGUUACGACGAGACGAGGGGUCGGGCAGCUACAGCAAUUACUUUCUGGAGGGCUGCAACACUACCGUCGUGCCGGUGCUUGGGAAUUCUGGCGAGGCGAACGCGAGCAGAUACGAGGAGCUCAUCAGCGGCGGCUUUCUCUUGACACGGUCGUCAUCGCCACGUAAAUUUCACUAAGAUUAAUUUAAGACCAUCCUACAGGGAGAACUCACAACAAUGAACAAUGCAUAUGCAUCAAACUCGUGGAAGGUAUUGUUGGACGUUGAAGGUGGCGUAGCUCGAUGCAUGACCCACCGGGCCAAAAUAGUCUAAUUAGGGAUGGUUUCCUCUUCAUGCCAUUUUUUGCUGCCCGGUGUACAUGUACAACCUGCCGCGGCGCUCGUGUGCCUCUGCCCCGACGGCAAGCGUAGUAGUUGGCUUGAGUGGAAGCUGGUACCUAGGAGUAGUAGAGGCUGGUAUAUACUGGGGCAGCACGCGGGCUGAGAGAGAGGCCUCCCCCAAACCCUAACCUCCAUUCCGUCGCCUCCCCGCAGCCCCGCUCCCUCGCUCCUCUGCAGAUCCGCCGCCCAGAGGAAGAGGAAGAGUAGCACAUCGUGGACGUCGGCAUCCCUGACACCGUCCCUAAGGGCGGGGUCCUCGGCGGGGAGCAUGGCCGCGAGCGUGCCGAGCGCGAGCGUAGCCUGCUCCUACUGGAUCUACAGUGCCUCCGCCAACGCGGUGGCACCCACGCGCCCGCCUCCAGGGCCGCGGCGGCGAGCUUCUCCUUGAGCUAGGCGAGGGUCUGCACUAGCGUGCCCUCCAGGAAGAUGAGCUUGGAGAUGGGCAGGAGGCUGUGCUCGAACGCCUCCCGACGCGGGCAGAGCAGCGCCGCGGGGGUGGCGGCGGUGUCGUUGUGGUAGGGGACAGGAAUGGAGCCGUGUCCAGCGGCGAGUCGAGGGUCUCGUCGGCCAUCGUGGCGACAUGAGAGGGGAGGCGUGGGGGAGGGGGAAGAUCUGGGAGUACGGUGGGAACGGUGAGGAAAAGGCAGAGGCAGUGACUCGAUGCGUGCAGGUUUUUUUUCCUUUCUCUUGUUUGAAGGGUAGUUUGCUUGUUAAAUAAGGGUUGGUUUGAUGCCAUGUCCGCGGGCUGGCACGAGCACGGCGAGGCUGUUAAAGCCCGCUGAGCCAGCGUGCUGGCACGGUCCACCUAAGAAGGCAGCGGGCCGUGUAUUGGCCGCUUCUUCGGCACGUGGGCCAGCACGGCACGGCACGGUUACUAUAUGGGCCUAAACGUUCCGAGUCAAAUCGUGCUCGUGCCAGGCCAGGCCGGACCGCCUGUUUGGCCAUCUAUACGGCCGCCACGCAGACAGCCAUCUUUUCCAGCUCAAGUGUAACAGCAGCGAGAGGUGGAUCUGGAAAAAGGUUAUAUAGGGGGGCUGAGCAUUGGGCUCAAAUGCAUUGUUAAACUAAGUUUGGGCUACUUCAUAUUGGGCCUAGUUACAUUUACCGGUCCAAAACUAAAACCACCCACUUCAACCUUCAGAUCUUACUCCAGUCUCCAGCUUACUUGGGGCCUAGGCUCCCUUGUAUCAGUGUCAGUAGGCCCCCUUAUCCCCACGCUGGAUCCGCCCUGGCAGCGAGGCCUUCUUAAGCAAAUCAAUCUCUUCCUGGAGUAUCCGGUGGUCAGCAUCUUCACCGAGAAUCAAUCUUUAGGCCUCCUCCAACAGUUGCUUCAUUGUAAAUUUAUUAUAACAGAUAGUAUAAGAGUCAACUUCUCCAACAAAAUAAAGAAAGAUGAUUGGAAAAGAUAAAAUACUUGGCCGCCAAAAACUGGGAAGCGUGCUUGAUGUUCAAGAGAUAACUUUUCUUUAUCUCUUCUUCAUCUCUCCUCCACAUAGGACAAUUAAUGACAUGACCUGCCUAAGAGUUAGUUGACAUGGUUUUAUUGAAGGAGGCCUUAGAUCAGAUCAGCGUUGUUGUUUUCGAGGGUGCUUCGAUGAGAGAGAAAAAGAUUCUCAUGGUGCUAUAUGGUGGAGUAGAGGGUGCUGGGGAGCAACUUCUUAGCACGGAUGCCCAAUUUUGCACCAGGUGCUACACAUACAAUUUAUUUUUUGGAGCAGCGUGAGUGGUCGGACAGGGAAGAGAGUGAGGAGAAAAAUUGGACUGCUGAUUUUUUUUUAUUCAGCUGGGUACCGAGGUUGGGGGUGCUCCACGCUGGAUCAAAAUAGUCCGAGCUCUACCUUCGUGACGUGUCCUUCGUGCUUUUUCUUCAAACGAACAUACGACUGCUGCUGGUCUUACAUGUCAAUAAAUAUCAAUAUUAGGACAUCCAUAUUAGCUAAUUACUGGUAAAAAAUUAUUGGGGAAAUGUUGGAGAUGCUCUUAAAGAAGGGGUUUCUCCUUGUCGGUGUUUUGUUUUGCCGACUAGUGAUUGUACGCCGCGCUCGCGCUCUCCUCCCUUCCGAUGGCUAGCGCACAAGAGACAAGGAAUUAUACUGGUUUGGGAAGAUCCCUACGUCCGAUUUCGGCAGAAGUCAUGUUCCUUGGAUCAGGUGCACUGAGCUUACAACAGGGUGCUUACAAGCAAGCGUGCAUGCGAUGCGAGGGUGUGUGUGUGAGUGUAGGAAGGCCCGGUUCCCUUUAUAUAGGAUAGGGACUGGGUGAUAAUGUUGAGAAAUGGAGGGGGUCCCCGACCUCUGAGGUCAGGGGUUGUGGCGUGGUCGAGCUGCCUUGUGUCAGGGAACUUCCUUGUCCUAUCUUCUUGGCCGGUCGUGGGCUUUGCACGCCCUGUACGGUGGCUCCUGUGCAGCGUGGACCGCUUACACAUGGCCUAGCCUGUUCCACGGCGUGCUCCAUCCCGUUUGCCAACCCCGUGGUAGUGAACGGGACGGAAGCUGCCUCUGAUGUCCGUACCGGAGAUGAGUGAGUGAGCCUUGGUCAGCGGCUUGGAAGAGGCAUGCUACUUCCCCAGCUUUCCCAGACCUCCUUAGUGUGCUCACAGCCACCCCACGCUGUUAUGCCUGACGCUAGAUCCCGCCUCGCCUGCGAGCCCAUAUGAGGCCUAGCAUGGUCUUGACGGGUCACCAUGGUAGCGAGGGUGAUAAUGACGUUGGGGCGCGUGGGCUCAUACGACUGCGCGUGCUUGCAGGUCGUCCUGAGCAGUCCGAGGGGUGUAGCCUCACCCUCGGACCCCCUAGCUAAAGGUCAUCUCCCUUCGCCAGGUCAUGUCCCAGCGUGGGGCGGUCAGGAGGGCCACACCCUGCAUUUAAUGCUCCCGGUACGACACCGGUCUCCCCUUAGUCAAGGAGUGGGUGGGGCCCUGUGGGCCCCUUACGGGCUGCGCUCCCAAUCUAGCUGAAUCGGUGAACUAUGGCCCUCAACUCCCGACCAAGAGAGGUCGGGUGAUAGGUCGCAGCGUCGUCUAGGCCACCUCCAAUACGCCUCUCGCUGUUGGACCUUUAGUCUUUUUGCAUCCGGUUACCUUAAAUUCCUUCCCCGAGUACCCCUGGCCCGUCACUCCUGGAGUGGACAGAGGUGCCAGGGAUUGCCCGAAGUGCAUGGAAAGGCAUUGCUCCGGCGUCAAGUGCGGUGAGUUUAGGAUACUGAUUGGGCUCGAGGAGAUUCUUAAAAAGAAAUCAUAUGAGGAUGCAUAGGCCGGCCCUAACUCUUGCAAUUUCGUACACAAGCAUUCCAUGUCUACCUAUUUAAACACACAACUUUUUCAUCAAUAAUUAGCCCAUGUAGAUUACAUGAUAUAAAUUUAUUAUCUAUGGAUUCAUAUUCAAAAGCACUCUGCAUUACCUGGAACAUUUGGAAGGACCGCAACGAUCUUGUGUUCAAUGCGAAAUUAACUCCACCGGCCGCCUGCGUCCGUGCCAUCGCAGUCGAUCUUGACCUGUGGGCUCAUCGUGCCCUUGGGAACACAGACACAGAUGUGGCGUACCUUAUUUUGUAACAUAACUUAAGUACUCUCACCUCUCUUCUACCCCCACAUCGCAAAAACUCGCAUAUUAAUACAUGGUUCAAGCCGGCUACUUGCCUGCCUUGGCACCUUUAAAAAAAUAUUCAAAAGCACUUUCAUAUACUUGAUGUCAAUUACAUGGUCGUAAAUAAUGUAAGGUAAUAUAAUACAAAAUAGAAUAAGAGAUUCUGAUGGUCAAGGUGUAGCCUUAAAUACCACAAUGAGGCAAACUGCGGCAUGCGUCAAGUGUAUCAUUCACUAUCAAUUGUAUCAUUCACUAUCAAUGCAUCUCCUUUGUCAAUUGUCGCUUCCAGCUCUAAUAAAAAGGAAGGGCAAUAUUAUACACACAAGAAUGGCAGAUCGCAGAUGUCAACUCAGGGGUGUAGCAUAUUAUUUGAAUUUUAUUUGCAAAUUCGGAACUGUCAAAUAUGCCACUCAUUCCUUCCUUUAAGCAAAAGAAUCAAUAAGUGCUAUUUGAUGCUUUUCUAAGCUAAUGCUAUUUCAGGUAGCAUAAGGAUUAGCUGGAGGAUAAUAAUGAUAGGUAUGCUACAUUUAACAUAAUUUCAUAUCAAGCAAUUCAAAUUUCAGUACUUACAUACUGCAACAAGUUACUUUUUUAUUUUUAGUCUUCGGAAGACCAGAUAAGAGCUAUUAUAACAUUUAUCAUAUAUGAUUGUGCAUAGAUUCUAGAAUGAAAUUUUAGAACAAGUUAUCCACAAUCUGUGUCUUCUAUUAUAAAUUAGGCAACUUUGAGCAAGAUUCACUGUCCUUAAUUAUAUAGCUUCUUCAUAUUUUCCAGCUAUGCACUUCUUCUUUUAUUUUAUUUUUAUAAAAAGAGACAACAACGGAUAUUAAUGGUCUUGGAAAUCUGAAUGAUAUUAAUAUAACAAGCCACUAUUUGAAGAGAAAAAUAACAUCUACUUUAAUUUCAGUUUUGAUGUUAGUUGCUCCUACCAUGUAUAUAUGUGCUUGCAUGGCAUAGAAAGAGAGGAAAGCUACAGUUUUUCUAUGUGAAAAGACUAGCAGAAGCACUGAAAGGAACAUUAAGGCCCUAUUAGUAUCGCAUGGAUCUCUAGCUCUGAAAAGAUACAAGUACAUGGAGAUACAAUUACAUGGAAGUAACAAAGAUAACAUCUUCCUUUGAUAAUAAAUUUGGGGAAGGUGGUUAUGGUGUGGUUUUCAAUGGAAGGCUAGAUGAUGGUCAUCUAGUGGCUGUGAAAUUCUUCCACAACUCCAAAGGAGAAGGAGAGGAGUUUGUUAACGAGUUAUGAGCAUUGGCAGGACCUCUCAUGUUAAUAUUGUUAGCUUAUUUGGGUUUUGUUUGGAAGGCUCAAAGCGGGCCCUAAUAUAUGAGUACAUGCCCAAUGGUUCUUUGGAUAAGUUCAUAUACUCAGAGAGUCCUAAAGCAGUUUUAGGAUGGGAUAAGCUCUACA
This 9079-nucleotide long non-coding RNA is filed under the name Setaria italica (foxtail millet). RNAcentral describes it as "long non-coding RNA (SITA_LNC003495)". Lineage: Eukaryota; Viridiplantae; Streptophyta; Magnoliopsida; Poales; Poaceae. The record is from RNAcentral.